RNAcentral lists this transfer RNA (64 nucleotides) under marine eukaryotic metagenome. It matches the Rfam family "tRNA", at positions 5 to 66 of the family's 71-position model. Rfam says of the family: Transfer RNA (tRNA) molecules are approximately 80 nucleotides in length. Their secondary structure includes four short double-helical elements and three loops (D, anti-codon, and T loops). Further hydrogen bonds mediate the characteristic L-shaped molecular structure. tRNAs have two regions of fundamental functional importance: the anti-codon, which is responsible for specific mRNA codon recognition, and the 3' end, to which the tRNAs corresponding amino acid is attached (by aminoacyl-tRNA synthetases). tRNAs cope with the degeneracy of the genetic code in two manners: having more than one tRNA (with a specific anti-codon) for a particular amino acid; and 'wobble' base-pairing, i.e. permitting non-standard base-pairing at the 3rd anti-codon position. The record is from RNAcentral.
GGUAGUGGUUCAAUGGUAGAACGUCACCCUCCCACGGUGAAGACGGGGGUUCGAUUCCCCUCUA